RNAcentral lists this ribosomal RNA (440 nucleotides) under uncultured bacterium. RNAcentral's name for it is "partial 16S ribosomal RNA". It matches the Rfam family "Bacterial small subunit ribosomal RNA", at positions 338 to 795 of the family's 1533-position model. The record is from RNAcentral.
CCUACGGGCGGCAGCAGUAGGGAAUAUUGCUCAAUGGGGAAAACCCUGAAGCAGCAACGCCGCGUGGAGGAUGAAGGUUUUCGGAUUGUAAACUCCUUUUGUUAGAGAAGAUAAUGACGGUAUCUAACGAAUAAGCACCGACUAACUCCGUGCCAGCAGCCGCGGUAAUACGGAGGGUGCAAGCGUUACUCGGAAUCACUGGGCGUAAAGAGCGCGUAGGCGGGAUAGCAAGUCAGAUGUGAAAUCCUAGGGCUUAACCAUAGAACUGCAUUUGAAACUGUUAUUCUAGAGUAUGGGAGAGGUAGGUGGAAUUCUUGGUGUAGGGGUAAAAUCCGUAGAGAUCAAGAGGAAUACUCAUUGCGAAGGCGACCUGCUAGAACAUAACUGACGCUGAUGCGCGAAAGCAUGGGGAGCAAACAGGAUUAGAUACCCGAGUAGUC